RNAcentral lists this unclassified non-coding RNA (367 nucleotides) under soil metagenome. Its description in RNAcentral is "partial contains 5.8S ribosomal RNA, internal transcribed spacer 2, and large subunit ribosomal RNA". The stretch from base 1 to 120 matches the Rfam family "5.8S ribosomal RNA", at positions 35 to 154 of the family's 154-position model. The record is from RNAcentral.
GAUGAAGAACGUAGCGAAAUGCGAUAAGUAAUGUGAAUUGCAGAAUUCAGUGAAUCAUCGAAUCUUUGAACGCACAUUGCACUCAUUAGUAUUCUAGUGAGUAUGCCUGUUCGAGCGUCAUUUCAACCCUUAAGCCUAGCUUAGUGUUGGGACUCUACCCUAACCGGUAGUUCCCCAAAAUCAGUUGGCGGAGUUCAGUCGGCUCUGAGUGUAGUAAUUUUCUCUCGCUUUAGAAGUCUUCUGGAUUACGGCCAGAAAGAGACGAGUCUCGCAUCUCGGUGCGUUUCUCAACUUUUUUUUUUACAAUGGUUGACCUCGGAUCAGGUAGGAAUACCCGCUGAACUUAAGCAUAUCAAUAAGCGGAGGA